AACGAACGCUGGCGGCAUGCCUAACACAUGCCAGUCGAACGAGACCUUCGGGUCUAGUGGCGCACGGGUGCGUAACGCGUGGGAACCUGCCCUUAGGUUCGGAAUAACUCCCCGAAAGGGGUGCUAAUACCGGAUAAUGUCUUCGGACCAAAGAUUUAUCGCCUUUGGAUGGGCCCGCGUUGGAUUAGCUAGUUGGUAGGGUAAAAGCCUACUAAGGCGACGAUCCAUAGCUGGUCUGAGAGGAUGAUCAGCCACACUGGGACUGAGACACGGCCCAGACUCCUACGGGAGGCAGCAGUGGGGAAUAUUGGACAAUGGGCGAAAGCCUGAUCCAGCAAUGCCGCGUGAGUGAUGAAGGCCUUAGGGUUGUAAAGCUCUUUUACCCGGGAUGAUAAUGACAGUACCGGGAGAAUAAGCGCCGGCUAACUCCGUG
This 433-nucleotide ribosomal RNA is filed under the name uncultured bacterium. Its description in RNAcentral is "partial 16S ribosomal RNA". It matches the Rfam family "Bacterial small subunit ribosomal RNA", at positions 29 to 507 of the family's 1533-position model. The record is from RNAcentral.